This 591-nucleotide ribosomal RNA is filed under the name Pichia sp. NRRL Y-17803. RNAcentral describes it as "eukaryotic LSU rRNA". It matches the Rfam family "Eukaryotic large subunit ribosomal RNA", at positions 62 to 648 of the family's 3401-position model. Lineage: Eukaryota; Fungi; Ascomycota; Pichiomycetes; Pichiales; Pichiaceae. The record is from RNAcentral.
AAACCAACAGGGAUUGCCUCAGUAACGGCGAGUGAAGCGGCAAAAGCUCAAAUUUGAAAUCUGGUACCCCUACCGGGUGCCCGAGUUGUAAUUUGAAGAUGGCAAACUUUGGAGUUGGCCCUUGUCUAUGUUCCUUGGAACAGGACGUCACAGAGGGUGAGAAUCCCGUCUGACGAGGUGACCCAGCUCCGUGUAAAGUGCUAUCGAAGAGUCGAGUUGUUUGGGAAUGCAGCUCUAAGUGGGUGGUAAAUUCCAUCUAAAGCUAAAUAUUGGCGAGAGACCGAUAGCGAACAAGUACAGUGAUGGAAAGAUGAAAAGAACUUUGAAAAGAGAGUGAAAAAGUACGUGAAAUUGUUGAAAGGGAAGGGUAUUAGAUCAGACUUGGCCACCCUACCGAUUAUCUGCCCCUCGUGGGCAGUGCACUCGUGGGUGAGCUGGGCCAGCAUCGAUUCGGGCGGCAGGAUAAUGGCAACAGAACGUGGCAUCUUACCCUGCGGUGGAUGUGUUUAUAGCUGUUUGCAGAUGCUGCCUGGCUGGAUCGAGGACUGCGUCCCUAGGGACUAGGAUGCUGGCGUAAUGAUCUAAUAUCGC